AUUGAACGCUGGCGGCAGGCCUAACACAUGCAAGUCGAACGGUAACAGGAAGAAGCUUGCUUCUUUGCUGACGAGUGGCGGACGGGUGAGUAAUGUCUGGGAAACUGCCUGAUGGAGGGGGAUAACUACUGGAAACGGUAGCUAAUACCGCAUAACGUCGCAAGACCAAAGAGGGGGACCUUCGGGCCUCUUGCCAUCGGAUGUGCCCAGAUGGGAUUAGCUAGUAGGUGGGGUAACGGCUCACCUAGGCGACGAUCCCUAGCUGGUCUGAGAGGAUGACCAGCCACACUGGAACUGAGACACGGUCCAGACUCCUACGGGAGGCAGCAGUGGGGAAUAUUGCACAAUGGGCGCAAGCCUGAUGCAGCCAUGCCGCGUGUAUGAAGAAGGCCUUCGGGUUGUAAAGUACUUUCAGCGGGGAGGAAGGGAGUAAAGUUAAUACCUUUACUCAUGGACGUUACCCGCAGAAGAAGCGCCGGCUAACUCCGU
This 489-nucleotide ribosomal RNA is filed under the name uncultured bacterium. Its description in RNAcentral is "partial 16S ribosomal RNA". It matches the Rfam family "Bacterial small subunit ribosomal RNA", at positions 30 to 506 of the family's 1533-position model. The record is from RNAcentral.